Molecule: long non-coding RNA, 432 nt
Organism: Photinus pyralis (common eastern firefly)
Lineage: Eukaryota; Metazoa; Arthropoda; Insecta; Coleoptera; Lampyridae
Exons: 3
Source: RefSeq, a predicted model, not a curated record
GAGAGAGGAAUCUAUGGCAGUACAGUGGCAAAUUCGAGGGCGACAUCCUUUUGCCAAGCAAACGGAACGCGGCGACUAAUGUGAAUCUUUGAUGGCCGGGAGGCGUUGUGUGUUACACCAUUACUGGCAGUUUCAGUGCAUCGGACCGUAAUCUGAUAAUCACCACGCUGAGUACUGGGUUUCCGAAUACGUGCGUUUAUCCGUACCAGUCGACAACAUACUGUGGAGGAAGCGUGGUUCAGAUCACGAAUGCCGAUCCGAGCGGGUGUUACGCCGAGCUUGGUAGACAGGGGCGACCUCAAACUAUGAAUUUGGGAACCACCUGCGUACACCGUCACCAAAUUAUCCACGAAUUCAUGCACGCCGUCGGAUUUUACCACAUGCACAGUGUUCCAGACAGGGACAACUACAUUACAAUUUACCCCCAAAAUA